This 265-nucleotide ribosomal RNA is filed under the name uncultured archaeon. RNAcentral's name for it is "partial 16S ribosomal RNA". It matches the Rfam family "Archaeal small subunit ribosomal RNA", at positions 717 to 982 of the family's 1478-position model. The record is from RNAcentral.
ACACGACUACAUUAGAUACCCGCGUAGUCCUAGCCGUAAACGAUACUCGCUAGGUGUCGGCCACGGUGCGACCGUUGUCGGUGCCGUAGGGAAGCCGUGAAGCGAGCCACCUGGGAAGUACGGCCGCAAGGCUGAAACUUAAAGGAAUUGGCGGGGGAGCACCACAACGGGUGGAGCUUGCGGUUUAAUUGGAUUCAACGCCGGAAAUCUUACCGGGACCGACAGCAACAUGAAGGCUAGGCUGAAGACUUUGCCGGAUUAGCUG